AUCCACGCUGGCGGCGUGCCUAACACAUGCAAGUCGCACGCGAAAGCCCCGCAAGGGGUAAGUAGAGUGGCAAACGGGUGAGUAACACGUGGGUGACCUGCCUUCGAGUGGGGGAUAACGUCCCGAAAGGGACGCUAAUACCGCAUGACAUCCUGCUUUUGAAAAAGCGGAGAUCAAAGCUGGGGAUCGCAAGACCUAGCGCUUGAAGAGGGGCCCGCGCCUGAUUAGCUAGUUGGUGAGGUAACGGCUCACCAAGGCGACGAUCAGUAUCCGGCCUGAGAGGGCGGACGGACACACUGGGACUGAGACACGGCCCAGACUCCUACGGGAGGCAGCAGUGGGGAAUUGUUCGCAAUGGGCGCAAGCCUGACGACGCAACGCCGCGUGGAGGACGAAGAUCUUCGGGUCGUAAACUCCUGUCGAGCGGGACGAACGCUUCGCGGAUGAAUAAUCCGCGGAAUUGACGGUACCGCUAAAGGAAGCCCCGGCUAACUCCGUG
RNAcentral lists this ribosomal RNA (499 nucleotides) under uncultured bacterium. Its description in RNAcentral is "partial 16S ribosomal RNA". It matches the Rfam family "Bacterial small subunit ribosomal RNA", at positions 33 to 507 of the family's 1533-position model. The record is from RNAcentral.